CGGGAGGCGAACCUUGCAGGGGUUAAGGCGGCUGCUGUCGCGACCAUCGCCUCUGCCGUUCCAACCCUGGCGAGCGUGAGGAUGCUGCCAUGGGCGAAGGCCAACAUCAACCCGACGGGGCAGGCGCUGAUCAUCUGCACGGCGGCCGGGAUGGCAUACUUCGUCGCCGCCGACAAGAAGAUCCUCUCGCUGGCGAGGAGGCACUCCUUCGAGAACGCACCUGAACACCUCAAGAACACCUCCUUCCAGGGCACCGGCCGCCCUCACCCUGCCUUCUUCAGGCCAUGAAUUUCUCCUAAUCAACUAG
This 307-nucleotide unclassified non-coding RNA is filed under the name Hevea brasiliensis (rubber tree). Lineage: Eukaryota; Viridiplantae; Streptophyta; Magnoliopsida; Malpighiales; Euphorbiaceae. The record is from RNAcentral.